Molecule: ribosomal RNA, 1529 nt
Filed under: Escherichia coli STEC_DG131-3
Lineage: Bacteria; Pseudomonadati; Pseudomonadota; Gammaproteobacteria; Enterobacterales; Enterobacteriaceae
Description: bacterial SSU rRNA
Rfam family: Bacterial small subunit ribosomal RNA
Source: RNAcentral
AGAGUUUGAUCAUGGCUCAGAUUGAACGCUGGCGGCAGGCCUAACACAUGCAAGUCGAACGGUAACAGAAAGAAGCUUGCUUCUUUGCUGACGAGUGGCGGACGGGUGAGUAAUGUCUGGGAAACUGCCUGAUGGAGGGGGAUAACUACUGGAAACGGUAGCUAAUACCGCAUAACGUCGCAAGACCAAAGAGGGGGACCUUCGGGCCUCUUGCCAUCGGAUGUGCCCAGAUGGGAUUAGCUUGUUGGUGGGGUAACGGCUCACCAAGGCGACGAUCCCUAGCUGGUCUGAGAGGAUGACCAGCCACACUGGAACUGAGACACGGUCCAGACUCCUACGGGAGGCAGCAGUGGGGAAUAUUGCACAAUGGGCGCAAGCCUGAUGCAGCCAUGCCGCGUGUAUGAAGAAGGCCUUCGGGUUGUAAAGUACUUUCAGCGGGGAGGAAGGGAGUAAAGUUAAUACCUUUGCUCAUUGACGUUACCCGCAGAAGAAGCACCGGCUAACUCCGUGCCAGCAGCCGCGGUAAUACGGAGGGUGCAAGCGUUAAUCGGAAUUACUGGGCGUAAAGCGCACGCAGGCGGUUUGUUAAGUCAGAUGUGAAAUCCCCGGGCUCAACCUGGGAACUGCAUCUGAUACUGGCAAGCUUGAGUCUCGUAGAGGGGGGUAGAAUUCCAGGUGUAGCGGUGAAAUGCGUAGAGAUCUGGAGGAAUACCGGUGGCGAAGGCGGCCCCCUGGACGAAGACUGACGCUCAGGUGCGAAAGCGUGGGGAGCAAACAGGAUUAGAUACCCUGGUAGUCCACGCCGUAAACGAUGUCGACUUGGAGGUUGUGCCCUUGAGGCGUGGCUUCCGGAGCUAACGCGUUAAGUCGACCGCCUGGGGAGUACGGCCGCAAGGUUAAAACUCAAAUGAAUUGACGGGGGCCCGCACAAGCGGUGGAGCAUGUGGUUUAAUUCGAUGCAACGCGAAGAACCUUACCUGGUCUUGACAUCCACGGAAGUUUUCAGAGAUGAGAAUGUGCCUUCGGGAACCGUGAGACAGGUGCUGCAUGGCUGUCGUCAGCUCGUGUUGUGAAAUGUUGGGUUAAGUCCCGCAACGAGCGCAACCCUUAUCCUUUGUUGCCAGCGGUCCGGCCGGGAACUCAAAGGAGACUGCCAGUGAUAAACUGGAGGAAGUGGGGAUGACGUCAAGUCAUCAUGGCCCUUACGACCAGGGCUACACACGUGCUACAAUGGCGCAUACAAAGAGAAGCGACCUCGCGAGAGCAAGCGGACCUCAUAAAGUGCGUCGUAGUCCGGAUUGGAGUCUGCAACUCGACUCCAUGAAGUCGGAAUCGCUAGUAAUCGUGGAUCAGAAUGCCACGGUGAAUACGUUCCCGGGCCUUGUACACACCGCCCGUCACACCAUGGGAGUGGGUUGCAAAAGAAGUAGGUAGCUUAACCUUCGGGAGGGCGCUUACCACUUUGUGAUUCAUGACUGGGGUGAAGUCGUAACAAGGUAACCGUAGGGGAACCUGCGGUUGGAUCACCU